This 72-nucleotide transfer RNA is filed under the name Bos taurus (domestic cattle). It matches the Rfam family "tRNA". From Rfam's summary of the family: Transfer RNA (tRNA) molecules are approximately 80 nucleotides in length. Their secondary structure includes four short double-helical elements and three loops (D, anti-codon, and T loops). Further hydrogen bonds mediate the characteristic L-shaped molecular structure. tRNAs have two regions of fundamental functional importance: the anti-codon, which is responsible for specific mRNA codon recognition, and the 3' end, to which the tRNAs corresponding amino acid is attached (by aminoacyl-tRNA synthetases). tRNAs cope with the degeneracy of the genetic code in two manners: having more than one tRNA (with a specific anti-codon) for a particular amino acid; and 'wobble' base-pairing, i.e. permitting non-standard base-pairing at the 3rd anti-codon position. The record is from Rfam by way of RNAcentral. RNAcentral also lists the same sequence under 1 other name. Lineage: Eukaryota; Metazoa; Chordata; Mammalia; Artiodactyla; Bovidae.
UCCCUGGUGGCUUAGACGGUAAAGCGUCUGCCUGCAAUGCAGGAGACCCGGGUACGAUCCCUGGCUUGGGAA